This 509-nucleotide ribosomal RNA is filed under the name uncultured bacterium. Its description in RNAcentral is "bacterial SSU rRNA". It matches the Rfam family "Bacterial small subunit ribosomal RNA", at positions 791 to 1300 of the family's 1533-position model. The record is from RNAcentral.
UAGUCCACGCAGUAAACGAUGGAUACUCACUGUAGGCGGUAUUGACCCCGCCUGUAGUCUAGCUAACGCGUUAAGUAUCCCGCCUGGGGACUACGGUCGCAAGACUAAAACUCAAAGGAAUUGACGGGGGCCCGCACAAGCGGUGGAUUAUGUGGUUUAAUUCGAAGCAACGCGCAAAACCUUACCUGGCCUUGACAUCCCUCUGAUCGGUAUAGAGAUAUACCUUCUCUUCGGAGCAGGGGUGACAGGUGCUGCAUGGCUGUCGUCAGCUCGUGUCGCGAGAUGUUCGGUUAAGUCCGGCAACGAGCGCAACCCUUAUUUUAGUUGCCAUCAUUAAGUUGGGCACUCUAGAGAGACUGCCGAUGUCAAAUCGGAGGAAGGUGGGGAUGACGUCAAGUCCUCAUGGCCCUUACGGCCAGGGCUACACACGUAAUACAAUGGGUGCUACAAAGAGCUGCGAACCAGUGAUGGGGAGCGAAACCUCAAAAAGCAACUCUCAGUCCGGAUUG